GACGAACGCUGGCGGCGUGCUUAACACAUGCAAGUCGAGCGGUAAGGCCCUUUCGGGGGUACACGAGCGGCGAACGGGUGAGUAACACGUGGGUGACCUGCCCUCAGCUCUGGGAUAAGCCUGGGAAACCGGGUCUAAUACUGGAUAUGACUCCAUGACGCAUGUUGUGGGGUGGAAAGCCUUGUGCGGCUGAGGACGGGCCCGCGGCCUAUCAGCUUGUUGGUGGGGUGANGGCCUACCAAGGCGACGACGGGUAGCCGGCCUGAGAGGGCGACCGGCCACACUGGGACUGAGACACGGCCCAGACUCCUACGGGAGGCAGCAGUGGGGAAUCUUGCGCAAUGGGCGAAAGCCUGACGCAGCGACGCCGCGUGAGGGAUGACGGCCU
Molecule: ribosomal RNA, 388 nt
Filed under: uncultured bacterium
Lineage: Bacteria
Description: bacterial SSU rRNA
Rfam family: Bacterial small subunit ribosomal RNA
Source: RNAcentral